GCCCGCACAAGCGGUGGAGCAUGUGGUUUAAUUCGAUGCAACGCGAAGAACCUUACCUACUCUUGACAUCCAGAGAACUUUCCAGAGAUGGAUUGGUGCCUUCGGGAACUCUGAGACAGGUGCUGCAUGGCUGUCGUCAGCUCGUGUUGUGAAAUGUUGGGUUAAGUCCCGCAACGAGCGCAACCCUUAUCCUUGUUUGCCAGCGAGUAAUGUCGGGAACUCCAGGGAGACUGCCGGUGAUAAACCGGAGGAAGGUGGGGACGACGUCAAGUCAUCAUGGCCCUUACGAGUAGGGCUACACACGUGCUACAAUGGCGCAUACAGAGGGCAGCAAGCUAGCGAUAGUGAGCGAAUCCCAAAAAGUGCGUCGUAGUCCGGAUUGGAGUCUGCAACUCGACUCCAUGAAGUCGGAAUCGCUAGUAAUCGUGGAUCAGAAUGCCACGGUGAAUACGUUCCCGGGCCUUGUACACACCGCCCGUCACACCAUGGGAGUGGGCUGCA
Molecule: ribosomal RNA, 501 nt
Filed under: Vibrio sp. U14
Lineage: Bacteria; Pseudomonadati; Pseudomonadota; Gammaproteobacteria; Vibrionales; Vibrionaceae
Description: bacterial SSU rRNA
Rfam family: Bacterial small subunit ribosomal RNA
Source: RNAcentral